Molecule: ribosomal RNA, 237 nt
Filed under: uncultured bacterium
Lineage: Bacteria
Description: partial 16S ribosomal RNA
Rfam family: Bacterial small subunit ribosomal RNA
Source: RNAcentral
GUUGUCCGGAAUUAUUGGGCGUAAAGAGCUCGUAGGCGGUUUGUCGCGUCGGCCGUGAAAACUUGGGGCUUAACCCCAAGCCUGCGGUCGAUACGGGCAGACUUGAGUUCGGCAGGGGAGACUGGAAUUCCUGGUGUAGCGGUGAAAUGCGCAGAUAUCAGGAGGAACACCGGUGGCGAAGGCGGGUCUCUGGGCCGAUACUGACGCUGAGGAGCGAAAGCGUGGGGAGCGAACAGG